ACCAGUGUGGCAUAGUGGUUUGAGCAUUGGACUACUACUGUGUAGACCAGGGUUCGAAUCCCUGCUCAAGUG
Non-coding RNA from Phrynosoma platyrhinos (Desert horned lizard), 72 nucleotides. Lineage: Eukaryota; Metazoa; Chordata; Lepidosauria; Squamata; Phrynosomatidae. The record is from the annotation of a GenBank genome assembly.